This 82-nucleotide transfer RNA is filed under the name Chlorovirus heliozoae. Its description in RNAcentral is "Acanthocystis turfacea Chlorella virus 1 tRNA". It matches the Rfam family "tRNA". From Rfam's summary of the family: Transfer RNA (tRNA) molecules are approximately 80 nucleotides in length. Their secondary structure includes four short double-helical elements and three loops (D, anti-codon, and T loops). The record is from Rfam by way of RNAcentral. RNAcentral also lists the same sequence under 7 other names. Lineage: Varidnaviria; Bamfordvirae; Nucleocytoviricota; Megaviricetes; Algavirales; Phycodnaviridae.
CUCGUCAUGGCGCAGUGGUAGCGCGGCGGACUGUAAAGUUACAUAUAUCCGUCGGUCCCCAGUUCAAAUCUGGGUGACGAGA